AACGCACAUUGCGCCCGCCAGUAUUCUGGCGGGCAUGCCUGUUCGAGCGUCAUUUCAACCCUCAAACCCCAGGGUUUGGUGUUGGAGAUCGGUUAGCUUUCUGCUUACCGGCUCCGAAAUCUAGUGGCGGUCUCGCUGCAGCCUCCAUUGCGUAGUAGAUAACACCUCGCAACUGGAACGCGGCGCGGCCAAGCCGUUAAACCCCCAACUUCUGAAUGUUGACCUCGGAUCAGGUAGGAAUACCCGCUGAACUUAA
This 256-nucleotide unclassified non-coding RNA is filed under the name uncultured Hypocreales. RNAcentral's name for it is "sequence contains 5.8S rRNA gene, ITS2, 28S rRNA gene". The stretch from base 1 to 52 matches the Rfam family "5.8S ribosomal RNA", at positions 103 to 154 of the family's 154-position model. The record is from RNAcentral. Lineage: Eukaryota; Fungi; Ascomycota; Sordariomycetes; Hypocreales.